CGUUUACCACGGUAUGAUUCAUGACUGGGGUGAAGUCGUAACAAGGUAACCGUAGGGGAACCUGCGGUUGGAUCACCUCCUUACCAAA
This 88-nucleotide ribosomal RNA is filed under the name Pseudohaemophilus sputorum. RNAcentral's name for it is "Haemophilus sputorum partial 16S ribosomal RNA". It matches the Rfam family "Bacterial small subunit ribosomal RNA", at positions 1451 to 1533 of the family's 1533-position model. Lineage: Bacteria; Pseudomonadati; Pseudomonadota; Gammaproteobacteria; Pasteurellales; Pasteurellaceae. The record is from RNAcentral.